Molecule: long non-coding RNA, 487 nt
Filed under: Equus asinus (donkey)
Lineage: Eukaryota; Metazoa; Chordata; Mammalia; Perissodactyla; Equidae
Description: lncRNA (ENSEASG00005024631.1)
Source: RNAcentral
GGCCCACCACAGUGAGCAGAAAGCAAGAAGGCAUGAGGCACCAGAGCAACGGCGUGAUAAUGUCAGCAUCAUGGUGAUGUGAGCUUUCCCAGUAAUCUCUUCCCUCCACCAUACAACGAAAAGGACAUUCAUGCUCCAACAGAGGACAUCCAAACACAACACAAAAAACAUCGGAGAGACCCACACAGCCAUACAAUGGAAGAUGGAGAGGCUGGAGUCCCCCUUGGAGGAGGUGGAAUGGGAUGAGGAAUCAGGACCAACAUGUUCAAGGUCAUCCGGCUCGGAAGGGGCAGAGGCUGCAGUCGACCCAGGCAGUCAGCUUUAAAGGGGCUCCUCCGAGGCGCUGGGCUUCCGCCUUGUGCUCUGGCACUUGUUGAAGAUGAACAUAGCGCCCCCAUUACAUCGGAAGCAGGUUCUAGCCUAUCAGGGAGGGGUGCUGGAGAGCCCCGAAUACAACCAAGCAUGCUGGGAAAGGCGGGAGCGUUCC